This 207-nucleotide ribosomal RNA is filed under the name uncultured bacterium. RNAcentral's name for it is "partial 16S ribosomal RNA". It matches the Rfam family "Bacterial small subunit ribosomal RNA", at positions 568 to 774 of the family's 1533-position model. The record is from RNAcentral.
CGUGCAGGCGGUUCUGAAAGUUGGAUGUGAAAGCUCCUGGCCCAACUAGGAGAGGCCAUUCAAAACUACAGGGCUAGAGGAUGGUAGAGGCAAAUGGAAUUCCCGGUGUAGUGGUGAAAUGCGUAGAUAUCGGGAGGAACACCAGAGGCGAAGGCGGUUUGCUGGGCCAGACCUGACGCUAAGACGCGAAAGCCAGGGGAGAGAACG